AUGUAAAGGGUAAACUACAAAGCCAAAAGAAUUACACUCAAUAAGGCGGUGAGCUGAUGCAACACUUUAGCGGAUAUGUUAAAGUGGCAAGCAAGAUAGAAAGAGUGGAUGGUGGAUGCCUUGGCAAAGAGAGGCGAUGAAGGACGCACUAGACUGCGAUAAGCUACGAGGAGCUGUCAAGGAGCUUUGAUUCGUAGAUCUCCGAAUGGGGCAACCCAGCUUAUGGCAACAUAAGCUACUCUAUUUAAUAGAGGGCGAACCUAGCGAAGUGAAACAUCUUAGUAGCUAGAGGAAAAGAAAUCAAGUGAGAUUCCCUAAGUAGUGGCGAGCGAAAGGGGAAAAGGGCAAACCGCGUGCUUGCAUGCGGGGUUGAGGACUACAAGAUUCUAAGAAAAAAUUUAGCAGAAGUGCUUGGAAAAGCAUGCCAUAGAAAGUGAUAGCCUUGUAUGCGAAAAGUUUUUUCAAAGAUAGUAGAAUCCAGAGUAGGUCAGGACACGAGAAAUCCGGGCUGAAGCUGGGGAGACCACUCUCCAACCCUAAAUACUCCUCUUUGACCGAUAGCGCACAAGUACCGUGAGGGAAAGGUGAAAAGAACCGUGGGUAACGGAGUGAAAUAGAACCUGAAACCAUCUACUUACAAUCAUUCAGAGCCCUAUGAUUUAUCAGGGUGAUGGACUGCCUUUUGCAUAAUGAUCCUGCGAGUUGUGGUGUCUGGCAAGGUUAAGUGAAAACGAGCCGUAGCGAAAGCGAGUCUGAAUAGGGCGUUUUAGUCAGAUGCUGCAGACCCGAAGCCAAGUGAUCUAUCCAUGGCCAAGUUGAAGUAAGUGUAAUAGCUUAUGGAGGACUGAACCCGUGCCCAUUGAAACGGGCUGGGAUGAGCUGUGGAUAGGGGUGAAAGGCCAAACAAACUUGGUGAUAGCUGGUUCUCUUCGAAAUAUAUUUAGGUAUAGCCUCAAGUGGUGGCAAGAGGGGGUAGAGCUCUGAUUGGACUAGGGCUGCUCGCCGCAGUACCAAACCCUGUCAAACUGCAAAUACCUCUUGUUCUAGCUUGGGAGUCAGGCGGUGGGUGAUAAAAUCAAUCGUCAAGAGGGAAACAACCCAGACUACCAACUAAGGUCCCCAAGUUCUAUUCUGAGUGGAAAAAGAUGUGUGGUUACUCAAACAACCAGGAGGUUGGCUUAGAAGCAGCCAUCCUUUAAAGAAAGCGUAACAGCUCACUGGUCUAGUGAUCAUGCGCUGAAAAUAUAACGGGGCUAAGAUAGACACCGAAGUUGUAGAUUGCACUUUUGUGCAGUGGUAGAAGAGCGUUCUGUGCAGCGUUGAAGGCAUACCGGUAAGGAGUGUUGGAGCGCACAGAAGUGAGCAUGCAGGAAUGAGUAGCGAUAAGAUGCGUAAGAAUCGCAUCCGCCGUAAAUCUAAGGUUUCCUACGCGAUGUUCGUCAUCGUAGGGUUAGUCGGGUCCUAAGCCAAGUCUGAAAAGGGUAGGCGAUGGCAAAUAGGUUAAUAUUCCUAUACCAAUUAGGGUGUGCGAUGGGAGGACGCAUGAAGUUAGGUGAGCCAGCGGAUGGAAGUGCUGGUCUAAGGGUCAUAGAUUAGGAGAGAGGCAAAUCCGCUCCUGUAUUCAAAACCUAAAUAGGCUCCUGGAGAUCUUCGGAUCAAAGGGAGAAUCACUGAUACUUUGUGCCAAGAAAAGUCUCUAAGUUUAGCUCUAAUUGUCCGUACCGCAAACCGACACAGGUAGAUGAGAUGAGUAUUCUAAGGCGCGUGGAUGAACUCUCUUUAAGGAACUCUGCAAACUGACACCGUAAGUUCGCGAUAAGGUGUGCCUACGCAAGUAGGUCUCAGCAAAGAGUCCCUCCCGACUGUUUACCAAAAACACAGCACUUUGCUAACUCGUAAGAGGAAGUAUAAGGUGUGACGCCUGCCCGGUGCUCGAAGGUUAAUUGAUGGGGUUAGCAGUGAUGCAAAGCUCUUGAUCGAAGCCCGAGUAAACGGCGGCCGUAACUAUAACGGUCCUAAGGUAGCGAAAUUCCUUGUCGGUUAAAUACCGACCUGCAUGAAUGGCGUAACGAGAUGGGAGCUGUCUCAAAGAGAGGUCCAGUGAAAUUGUAGUGGAGGUGAAAAUUCCUCCUACCCGCAGCAAGACGGAAAGACCCCGUGGACCUUUACUAUAGCUUAGCACUGCUAAUGGGAAUGCCAUGCGCAGGAUAGGUGGGAGGCUUUGAAGCAGAUACUUUGGUGUCUGUGGAGCCAUCCUUGAGAUACCACCCUUGGCGUUUUUGUUAGCUAACUGGCUAGAGUUAUCCUCUAGCAGGACAAUGUUUGGUGGGUAGUUUGACUGGGGCGGUCGCCUCCUAAAGAGUAACGGAGGCUUACAAAGGUUAGCUCAUGGCGGUUGGAAAUCGCCAGUUGCGUGUAAUGGCAUAAGCUAGCUUAACUGCAAGAGAGACAACUCAAGCAGAGACGAAAGUCGGUCAUAGUGAUCCGGUGGUUUCGUGUGGAAGAGCCAUCGCUCAAAGGAUAAAAGGUACCCCGGGGAUAACAGGCUGAUCUCCCCCAAGAGCUCACAUCGACGGGGAGGUUUGGCACCUCGAUGUCGGCUCAUCGCAUCCUGGGGCUGGAGCAGGUCCCAAGGGUAUGGCUGUUCGCCAUUUAAAGCGGUACGCGAGCUGGGUUCAGAACGUCGUGAGACAGUUCGGUCCCUAUCUGCUGUGGGCGUAGGAAAGCUGAGGAGAGCUGUCUUUAGUACGAGAGGACCGAGAUGGACAUGCCACUGGUGCACCAGUUGUUCUGCCAAGAGCACCGCUGGGUAGCUACGCAUGGUUGUGAUAAGAGCUGAAAGCAUCUAAGCUCGAAGCCAACUCCAAGAUAAGCUUUCCCUGAAGCUCGCAUGAAGACUACAUGUUUGAUAGGGUGGGUGUGUAAGUGCAGCAAUGCAUUAAGCUAACCACUACUAAUGGAGCGUUUGGCUUGUUUGCGUG
Molecule: ribosomal RNA, 2981 nt
Filed under: Helicobacter suis HS5
Lineage: Bacteria; Pseudomonadati; Campylobacterota; Epsilonproteobacteria; Campylobacterales; Helicobacteraceae
Description: bacterial LSU rRNA
Rfam family: Bacterial large subunit ribosomal RNA
Source: RNAcentral